This 497-nucleotide ribosomal RNA is filed under the name uncultured bacterium. RNAcentral describes it as "partial 16S ribosomal RNA". It matches the Rfam family "Bacterial small subunit ribosomal RNA", at positions 28 to 507 of the family's 1533-position model. The record is from RNAcentral.
GAUGAACGCUGGCGGCGUGCCUAAUACAUGCAAGUCGAGCGAACGGACGAGAAGCUUGCUUUUCUGAUGUUAGCGGCGGACGGGUGAGUAACACGUGGAUAACCUACCUAUAAGACUGGGAUAACUUCGGGAAACCGGAGCUAAUACCGGAUAAUAUUUUGAACCGCAGGGUUCAAAAGUGAAAGACGGUCUUGCUGUCACUUAUAGAGGGAUCCGCGCUGCAUUAGCUAGUUGGUAAGGUAACGGCUUACCAAGGCAACGAUGCAUAGCCGACCUGAGAGGGUGAUCGGCCACACUGGAACUGAGACACGGUCCAGACUCCUACGGGAGGCAGCAGUAGGGAAUCUUCCGCAAUGGGCGAAAGCCUGACGGAGCAACGCCGCGUGAGUGAUGAAGGUCUUCGGAUCGUAAAACUCUGUUAUUAGGGAAGAACAUAUGUGUAAGUAACUGUGCACAUCUUGACGGUACCUAAUCAGAAAGCCACGGCUAACUACGUG